UCCUACGGGAGGCAGCAGUCGGGAAUUUUGGGCAAUGGGCGAAAGCCCGACCCAGCAACGCCGCGUGAAGGAUGAAGUAUUUCGGUAUGUAAACUUCGAAAGAAUGGGAAGAAUAAAUGACGGUACCAUUUAUAAGCUCCGGCUAACUACGUGCCAGCAGCCGCGGUAAUA
Molecule: ribosomal RNA, 171 nt
Filed under: uncultured Acidobacteriaceae bacterium
Lineage: Bacteria; Pseudomonadati; Acidobacteriota; Terriglobia; Terriglobales; Acidobacteriaceae
Description: partial 16S ribosomal RNA
Rfam family: Bacterial small subunit ribosomal RNA
Source: RNAcentral